GGUUCCGUAGUGUAGUAUAUCACGUUCGCUUCACGCGAAAGGUUUCCGGUUCGAACCCGGACGGAACCA
Molecule: transfer RNA, 69 nt
Filed under: Trichonephila inaurata madagascariensis
Lineage: Eukaryota; Metazoa; Arthropoda; Arachnida; Araneae; Nephilidae
Description: tRNA-Sup
Source: RNAcentral